AAACGAUUCAGGCUCUAAAUAAGUAUCAUGCUGUACUUACCUUCAAAACCUUUCAGCCCAGAUGAAAUAAUGUUGCUGGCAUCGUGUAUCAUAUAUGCUUCUCUGUUUCUGUAUGGAGAAGCGGCUGUUACCAUGAUUCAGGAACUUAGCAUGAUAAGAAGUACAGGCAGAACUGCCCGAUUAAAAUGUGAAGUGAAUGGAGUUGAUGAUAUAAGCAGUGCAUAUAUCCAUUGGUAUCGACAUAAAGAAGUCAAGGCUCUGGUGCGGAUUCUUUACAAAGCAGCGGGUAGCACUGUUUACGACGACACAACAUUGGAAAACAGAUUUGUGGUUGAUAGAGCAGAUAAAACAGAUACUCUUACAAUAACCAGAAUAUUAAAGGACGAUUCUGCCACAUAUUAUUGUGCCUAUUGGGAUACUCACAGUGAUGCAAAGCCAUAG
Acipenser ruthenus (sterlet) is the source of this 441-nucleotide non-coding RNA. The record is from the annotation of a RefSeq genome assembly. Lineage: Eukaryota; Metazoa; Chordata; Actinopteri; Acipenseriformes; Acipenseridae.